Molecule: long non-coding RNA, 1868 nt
Filed under: Amphibalanus amphitrite
Lineage: Eukaryota; Metazoa; Arthropoda; Thecostraca; Balanomorpha; Balanidae
Description: uncharacterized LOC122390685, transcript variant X1
Source: RNAcentral
GGCCCCGGAACGAUCUGUCUGGUUGAUAUAGCCUUGGUCGGUAGAUAUGCACAUGUGCUUUAUGUAAAAGUGGCUUAAUUUUGGUGCAAACAGGCACCCAACUUUCAGUGGAAAUCAUGCACUGGAAUUUCAGCUCAAAAUUGCUUGCUUCAAAUUUUGGCGCAUGAGGGGCUCACGGGCAUCCGGCGUAGUGUAUGGAUGUUUUCCAGUCUGGCUGAAAGGCAGAACUCAGACACAUUUAUCCAGCCCUUCAAAUCCCAUUUCCUGGUUGUGGUAACACCUACCUUUCCAUGGGGGUUUGGUUCAUCUCUUGUCUACACAGUUUUCUUUCACUUAUGUGCUGACAAGAAAAGGAAACUCACCAGAGCCCAGUUUCACCAAGUGCGGUAAACUCAAUUUGGGGUAAACUACUAAACUACCCCACUACUUAACUACAAAAACUACCCCAAAAUUAAGUUUACCGCACUUGGUGAAACUGGGCUCAGUGGAGCUAUUCAGCUUAAUACACAGAGUAUGUGUUGCAUGGACUAAGCAUGUGUUGACCCUUUUUUACUUUUAGGUUCCCGCUAAAAAAAAGAAGUACAGAGAAAAGUGGAUGAGGGUGUGUGGCAUGACCAAUGAGCCAAGACCACAUGACCACUUAAACUUAACAAGAAGUGCGCACCAUGAUAAGCACAGUCAAAAACGUUUGCGUCUAAAGAACAGUGCUGUGCCGGAUCAGAAUAUUCCGUAUACGCCUUGGGUUGCUGUCGCUGCUCGGUCACCCACAGAUGAAAGUGAUCAAGAAAUGGACAUCACUCAGGUGUGGGAUCACUCGUGGAAGUUCACGGCGGAUACGGAGCCGUGCAUGCAGCUCUGGUUCGAUCCUGCUCAGGGAAGCCCCAAUGACGCCGUGGCGCGUAUCUGGGCUGAGCGGGUGGUGGCGGGCGCUGCCGCGUGGCUGGUGGCCGCGGCCCGCUCCUGACCCGGUCGCCCUGUGCCGAGCACAGAGCGCCGACUGAGGUCAGUCUUGUGAUCGAGCUUCCGCGCCGGAGGUGGAACAGCUGGAGCUGGCGGUCACCUGCGCGGGCUCGGCGGCCUGUAAGCCGUGCCGAGACGAACCGCGACACUCUUGCUAGAUCUGCACCCCAUUGUAAUCUUCUGUAGUCGAUAUUCGGUAGGUACUCAAUGCUCAUUUUUCUGAUAUUAGACGAGUGGCGUGUUUUGAUGUUACAUUGGAGACUGCUGUCUCGGGUGGCCCGACAGUGUUCGAUUGUGGUGUAAUGUAGAUACAUAGACGGGAUGCCGCGGCUCGGAUUCGUAGCUGGACUACCAUGUGCCUGUCGAUUGAGAUGCUUUGCCUGGCGAUUGAGAUGAUUCGGGGCGCGGCCCCACACUGACGCCAUGGUGCAAUGAGUGACUGGCGACAACUAAGCAAUUAUGUACUUUUGUAGAACACAUGUUUUCAUGGAUACUAGAGGCAGUCCUUUUUUCGCUAGCAGUCAUUUGGUUCACGAUACUUUCGAUACCGACAAAUAUGUUCGGGCGGCCGGUCCGUCCACAGCUAAUGCGUGCUUGCCCGCCGAUGCCUAACGGAGCGCUGUGCUGUCUACGCUCACUGGUCGCUGGCCCGAGAGCCGUUCGGUUGCUGCUGUUAAAACAGUUCUCACAAAAACACGCUGGCUGGCUGCCAGUUCUUCACCAAUGAGAGGCCCAGUAGCAUCAGCAGGUAGCAUUGUUUAAUAUUACUAUUCCAUUUUGUUUACCCAUAUGUCCGACCUAGAGCCGACUGGUAAAAAGCGGCAACCGAGCAGCCCUCCGCAGCGCUGCAGAUCAUGUACGCUCGAUUAUACACAAUAUAUGUGUCUUUCUUGCACACAGAGACAUGA